GUGCCAGCAUCUGCGGUAAUUCCAGCUCCAAUAGCGUAUAUGUAAAUUGUUGCGGUUGAAAAGCUCGUAGUUGGACUUCUGUCGGCCGCGUUCGGUCCGCCUUGAGUGAGUACUGUUCGCGGUCGGCGUUUUUGUCGACGGUGCGCGUCGGACUUCACUGGCCGGUGCGCUCUCUGUCGGCGAUGUUACUUUGAGGAAAUCAGAGUGCUCAAAGCAAGCGUUCGCUCGUGACUUCACUAGCAUGGAAUAACACAGAUGGGCUCUUUUUCGCACCGUUGGUCUGCGUCAACUGAGCAACGAUCGAUAGAGACGGUCGGGGGCAUUCGUAUUGCGCAGUUAGAGGUGAAAUUCUCCGAUCUGCGCAAGACGCACUAAUGCGAAAGCAGUUGCCAAGGACGUCCUCUUAUGAUCAAGAGCGAAAGUCGGGGGAUCAAAGAUGAUUAGAUACCGUCGUAGUCCCGACCAUAAAUGAUGCCAACUGAGCGUCGGCGACUCGGCUUUCAGCCGGACGUCGGCGCUCUUGAGAGAAAUUAAAGUCUUUGGGCUCCGGGGGUAGUAUGGUCGCAAGGCU
RNAcentral lists this ribosomal RNA (571 nucleotides) under Avrainvillea amadelpha. RNAcentral's name for it is "bacterial SSU rRNA". It matches the Rfam family "Eukaryotic small subunit ribosomal RNA", at positions 564 to 1138 of the family's 1831-position model. The record is from RNAcentral. Lineage: Eukaryota; Viridiplantae; Chlorophyta; Ulvophyceae; Bryopsidales; Dichotomosiphonaceae.